GAGGUUGUGGCUCAGAGGCAGAGCACUUGCCUGGCAUGCAUGAGGCACUGGGUUCAAUCCUCAGUACCACA
This 71-nucleotide transfer RNA is filed under the name Marmota monax (woodchuck). It matches the Rfam family "tRNA". From Rfam's summary of the family: Transfer RNA (tRNA) molecules are approximately 80 nucleotides in length. Their secondary structure includes four short double-helical elements and three loops (D, anti-codon, and T loops). Further hydrogen bonds mediate the characteristic L-shaped molecular structure. tRNAs have two regions of fundamental functional importance: the anti-codon, which is responsible for specific mRNA codon recognition, and the 3' end, to which the tRNAs corresponding amino acid is attached (by aminoacyl-tRNA synthetases). tRNAs cope with the degeneracy of the genetic code in two manners: having more than one tRNA (with a specific anti-codon) for a particular amino acid; and 'wobble' base-pairing, i.e. permitting non-standard base-pairing at the 3rd anti-codon position. The record is from Rfam by way of RNAcentral. Lineage: Eukaryota; Metazoa; Chordata; Mammalia; Rodentia; Sciuridae.